GUGGGGAAUAUUGGACAAUGGGCGAAAGCCUGAUCCAGCCAUGCCGCGUGUGUGAAGAAGGUCUUCGGAUUGUAAAGCACUUUAAGUUGGGAGGAAGGGCAGUAAGUUAAUACCUUGCUGUUUUGACGUUACCGACAGAAUAAGCACCGGCUAACUUCGUGCCAGCAGCCGCGGUAAUACGAAGGGUGCAAGCGUUAAUCGGAAUUACUGGGCGUAAAGCGCGCGUAGGUGGUUUUGUACGUUGGAGGUUAAAUCCCCGGGCUCAACCUGGGAACUGCCUCCAAAACUGCAUGACUAGAGUACGGUAGAGGGUAGUGGAAUUUCCUGUGUAGCGGUGAAAUGCGUAGAUAUAGGAAGGAACACCAGUGGCGAAGGCGACUACCUGGACUGAUACUGACACUGAGGUGCGAAAGCGUGGGGAGCAAACAGGAUUAGAAACCCCUGUAGUCC
RNAcentral lists this ribosomal RNA (450 nucleotides) under uncultured bacterium. RNAcentral describes it as "partial 16S ribosomal RNA". It matches the Rfam family "Bacterial small subunit ribosomal RNA", at positions 354 to 796 of the family's 1533-position model. The record is from RNAcentral.